Zalophus californianus (California sea lion) is the source of this 578-nucleotide long non-coding RNA. RefSeq lists it as uncharacterized. The transcript is spliced from 3 exons. Lineage: Eukaryota; Metazoa; Chordata; Mammalia; Carnivora; Otariidae. The record is from RefSeq and is a predicted model, not a curated record.
AGGACAAGAGCCAAGAACACGAGGUUGUCUCAGUCAUGAGACAUCACCGUGGCCGGGACAGGGACCUGAAUCAGCAGGGUCAUUCCUGGAACAGGAGAAUUUCCCUGGUGAGAUGAGGCAGGACCAGUCCUUAUUAAGGAGACAUGACAUGGCUGGGCACAGAACAGAUUUCAGAUCUCUGGAGACCAGAAGGCCCACCUCUUCAGGGGGAUUAGGGCCUUGGGAGGUGAGUCAUAAGAGGAACUUCGAAGAGGUCUCCACGGACUCGGCACUAUGAAGCUAUUUCUCCUUCUCGUCUUCGUCGUCCUCUUCAACUCUCAAGUAAUGCCAGGUUAUAGGCACGGUGAAGUGUAUCAUUUCUGUGACUCACAUACAAGCGUGUGCCUGAGGAGGAAAAGAAACUGUAUGAUUCGCAUGCCGGGGAUAUGCCCCGGAAGGAGCUUCUGUUGCAUAAGGAUGCAUAAGUGAAUGGAAGAAUUCGUGUUUAAUGAAUCUACCCUGAAUUAAGUAAACUGAAGAAGUCACGCUUAAUGGACCUACCCUGAAUUAAAUUGGAAGGCUGAGGCCUCAUGAUACCA